CUUACCUUUAAGUUGCAGGACGGUGGCUGGGGAUGAUAGGAGCGGAUGCCUCUGGUGUGGUGUCAUCUCCUGUCCUGUCUUCUCCUCUCCCUCUCCCCCGCGCGCAGUAAGCUGGGAGGAAGAGACCGGCCGUCACUUUCUCCCACAAGCACUUGCGGUGUAGCCGCAAUUUUUUUUAAAGUGGCCCGGUCGCACAAUUACACGCCCGCAGCGCUGACCGGGCCCCUAAAGAUAUAGGGCCCAUCGGGUGGCCCUAAAUGCUUGGGCCACCUGAUGGGCCCCGGUGCAGAUGCACCUGCGGCAGUUUCGCCGAUCCACGUGGGGCCCGGGCCGCCGGGCCAGUGACAACCGUUAUGGUUGUCACCCCCUGAUGGCGGCCCUGCCUGACCGGGCCCCUGUUCAUCAAUAAUACCAAGCAGGUGGCCCUAAGUGCAUGGGCCACAUGUUGGGGGCCCCCCUAGCAUGCAGGCCCAGUGCAGCCGCACCAGCUAUGCUGGCGGUAUUUGCGCCACUGUUUACAGUACUUAAAAAAACAAUUAACAGCAGAUUUAACCACACCUCCAGUCAGAGAUAUUCUAAGCACACUGUAAUCCAAAAUCACAAUGUUAUACAGAUAUCAUUGGGUUCCCAGGAAUUAUGAGAACAAAUGUUCUCGGUCAGACCAUAAGCGGUAAGGGUGCUCUGGAUUUUUAUCCAGAAUGUCUUUCUGCAGCAGGAAACACUCUUAUUUAGGUGUGAAACAGUGUCAAUAACGACAAAUUUUAGUGUGGUCAAAGGAUGUCUAUUUCUAAGAACUCUUUGGCCAAUGUCAUUCCAUCUCGAUAAGCCAUGUUGAUAGCUGACCUUUGAACCUGGUGUUUGUUCCAUGAGUGUCAGGUCUGUCUUUUCAUUAUAAUCAAGUCCACACGUACAAUUUUUUUUUAAAUCAUGUAUUCUCUUGUACAAGUGAAUUAUUCAAAAUAGUUUAUUCUUGUGUGGAUGCUCAAAGUUUGUGUCUGGGUCAUAUGGGCACAUGUGACACAACCACUACAUCAGUAGCAGCUGGUCUUAUUAGAGGCAUUAUGUUGCCAAUUAUUCUAAUAACAGUAGUGUGGAUCCAUUAAAACCACCAAGUCACAUAUACUUUUCUCUCUAGAAAAAAACAUCACAAUAACACAGUAAUAAGUUAUAUAUUUUUUUGUUUUUUGUUUUUUAAAGGCCUCAGCAUUCUUAAAGGAAUACUCAAAGUACCAUAAAUACAAGAGUAUACUGUUGUGAGUAAGGUGGCAGGAGGGCUCUGUUGCCUCCGUUGUAAGUAGUUAAAUAGUUUUAAAAGGGUUUG
This is a non-coding RNA of Pelobates cultripes (western spadefoot toad), 1321 nucleotides long. Lineage: Eukaryota; Metazoa; Chordata; Amphibia; Anura; Pelobatidae. The record is from the annotation of a GenBank genome assembly.